Molecule: ribosomal RNA, 981 nt
Filed under: Salmonella enterica subsp. enterica serovar Weltevreden
Lineage: Bacteria; Pseudomonadati; Pseudomonadota; Gammaproteobacteria; Enterobacterales; Enterobacteriaceae
Description: bacterial SSU rRNA
Rfam family: Bacterial small subunit ribosomal RNA
Source: RNAcentral
GCAAGCGUUAAUCGGAAUUACUGGGCGUAAAGCGCACGCAGGCGGUCUGUCAAGUCGGAUGUGAAAUCCCCGGGCUCAACCUGGGAACUGCAUUCGAAACUGGCAGGCUUGAGUCUUGUAGAGGGGGGUAGAAUUCCAGGUGUAGCGGUGAAAUGCGUAGAGAUCUGGAGGAAUACCGGUGGCGAAGGCGGCCCCCUGGACAAAGACUGACGCUCAGGUGCGAAAGCGUGGGGAGCAAACAGGAUUAGAUACCCUGGUAGUCCACGCCGUAAACGAUGUCUACUUGGAGGUUGUGCCCUUGAGGCGUGGCUUCCGGAGCUAACGCGUUAAGUAGACCGCCUGGGGAGUACGGCCGCAAGGUUAAAACUCAAAUGAAUUGACGGGGGCCCGCACAAGCGGUGGAGCAUGUGGUUUAAUUCGAUGCAACGCGAAGAACCUUACCUGGUCUUGACAUCCACGGAAGUUUUCAGAGAUGAGAAUGUGCCUUCGGGAACCGUGAGACAGGUGCUGCAUGGCUGUCGUCAGCUCGUGUUGUGAAAUGUUGGGUUAAGUCCCGCAACGAGCGCAACCCUUAUCCUUUGUUGCCAGCGGUCCGGCCGGGAACUCAAAGGAGACUGCCAGUGAUAAACUGGAGGAAGGUGGGGAUGACGUCAAGUCAUCAUGGCCCUUACGACCAGGGCUACACACGUGCUACAAUGGCGCAUACAAAGAGAAGCGACCUCGCGAGAGCAAGCGGACCUCAUAAAGUGCGUCGUAGUCCGGAUUGGAGUCUGCAACUCGACUCCAUGAAGUCGGAAUCGCUAGUAAUCGUGGAUCAGAAUGCCACGGUGAAUACGUUCCCGGGCCUUGUACACACCGCCCGUCACACCAUGGGAGUGGGUUGCAAAAGAAGUAGGUAGCUUAACCUUCGGGAGGGCGCUUACCACUUUGUGAUUCAUGACUGGGGUGAAGUCGUAACAAGGUAACCGUAGGGGAACCUGC